This is a long non-coding RNA of Chrysemys picta bellii (western painted turtle), 2008 nucleotides long. The record is from Ensembl. Lineage: Eukaryota; Metazoa; Chordata; Testudines; Emydidae.
UGUUUCCAAUUGAGACUCUUCUCUGCCUGGGGCCACGCCCACAGUGAAAGCUCAUUGGUCCAGAUGCUUCAACUUCCUACACAAACAAACUUCUGCUGUAUUGCUAAAUUGAAAGAAGCAGCUUGUUGUCAUGGUGUAUUCUAAAGUCUGGAUUCAGGACAGAGGGACAGUAUUUUAGUUGCUGAUAUGUGAUGCUGACGCUGUGCUGCAUGAAGAAGUUUUCAUUUAUAAAUGUUGGACUUGUGCCCAGACUGCUAUGGUAGAAUCUGGAAGAAAACACAAUAAGGAGAAGAACGUCAGACCAAUUUUGCAGGAACAUAUGUGGGGGGGAAAAGGCUUUAACAAAAGACAUUUUUCGAACAGUGAAAGAACUAGACCAUGGACAAUAGUUAUGAAUCUUUAAAAAUCUAUCCUGCGUCAACCACUAUUAUCCAUGCAGAGUCAAAAGAAUGCUUUAUCUGUCGAGAAGGAGACGAGAUGGGUUGUGACGCUCUGCUGCACUUCUGUGACUGCAAAAACCUGAUUGCUCACCAGAAGUGUGUGUUAACCUGGAUACAAAAGAGUUCUGAUAAUCAAGAUAGAGCAAGAUGCAAAGUAUGUACAGCUGAGUACCAGCUACAGAAAGGAUCAGUGUGGAGAAUCCUGUUUUGUCACUGGCAGAAUUGGCUCUUCUUCUGCUUGGUCCUGGCAGUAAUGACUAUCAUUCCCCUUGCAGUCUAUCGAAUGAUGGUAGCUUUUAAGGACCCUCCACCCAGUGCUGUAUUCCAUGCAGCAGCUGUGUGCUUUGGAGUUCUCGCAGAGACUCUUCUGAUAAAGAGGAUUUUUUUAAAGUGUGACAACAUAAUAUUGAACAACCAUGCAUACGUAUUGUAUUACUGCAGCAGCAAAUACAACGAGGCCAAGAUGUCUUCAUUUUCCGUCAGAGCGAGAACUGUAGAACAAUGUGAUCGAGGCGUUGGUCUUCUGUGGCCAGCCGGUCAGAACCCAUCAACAGCUGUGAUGAGCAGAGCAGAGAUGGGGAAACAGGAGGCAGUCAAAGCCAAAGAAGGUUUCGGCCUGAAGCUGUGUGUAUGACUGAAGCAGAGCAAGGCCAGGACCCAAGGAAACCCCAGCAGCAAGGGAAAAAACAGAUUGACUCUCAGUGACUCAUUUAGCUCCUGGAUUGGACAAAUCUCUCCCCUGCUGGCAGUUUGGCUGAGCAUCAAUGAGACAGAUACCAGGAUGAAUAGCUUAAAAUAAUUAGGGGGCCAAUCUGCAAAACUGCUCUCAUCCAAUUCUUUACUGUGUGAUGAAAGACACAAAACAAAUUACAUUUAGAUAUUAAAUAUUAAGUCACUGGAUUUACCUCCAUUUGGUCCAAAGCAGGAAACUGGAUAAAAUUCAAUUUUAUAUCAUUGUGUUGAUGGCCUGUUUUUCAUCAAAUGAGUGAGUGUUUGUUGGCAGGUCAGACUCUUUGACACAUGGGGAAAAUAGGUGCUUAAUUUAAAUGAGAAUUAAUGCAAUCAUAAUUAACACAAAUGUGAACAGAAUUAAACACAGGCAAGAGUUCAGUUUAAUGCUUAGCAGUUUAAACUAUAUGUUUUAGGAAACAUCCUGCUUCAGCUGAAGACAAUGGCAGUGUUGCCACUGAAUUCAAUGGAAACCGGAGUAGGCCUUCUAGGUAGACAGGCAGGAUUCCCUGUACUUUAUAUUUAAUGCACAAAAACAGAAGCAACAAGCUCAUUUAGUAUCAGUAAAGGUCAGUUAAAAUUAUAGAGACAUCCUUUGGAGCAAAUCUUCUGCCUUGUAUUUGCAUAUUUAUGAACUAGAGAUUAUGACAGGCCAUUCCAUUUAUUAGAGCAGCGCUGCUAUAGUUAAUAGUCUGUCAGCGUUUCCAUUAUAAACCCCGUUUUUCAGUGUUUUAAUUUCUCAGCCAUUUGAAAUCACAUCAGGAAGCAACGUAGCCCUUGUGUUGUCAGGCCAGGUGCAUUUUUUUUUAAAUUAAUAAAAAUAUAUUUAAAUGAGCUCA